CUUUCGAUUGUAGCAUUUCUCCUUUCAGGAUACAGUACGGGAUCCUUUCUGGAAUGGAGGUCUUAUGAGCUGCUAUUGAACACGGCAGAGCCUGUUGGUGACCUGCACACAGGAGCCCUCCAGUCAGUACUGAUUGAAUUACUCAAGGCUGCCUCUCUGCAAAGUUGAGGCGGUGGAGAACUACUGAGGACUUCUGAGCAGAGAGGUUGGUGGAAGAGGAAGCACCAAAAAUCCAUCUCAUCACCUAGAGAGCAUUGUACUGGCAGAACUGUCUAAAGUGACUAUUUUGGAACUCUGGGAUCAAUUUGAAUACUUGCAGCUUCCAAAGGAAAGGAGUCAGUGACCUUCGAGGAUGUGGCCGUCUACUUCUCUGAGAACGAAUGGAUCGGCCUGGGCCCUGCUCAGAGAGCCCUGUACAGGGAUGUGAUGCUGGAGAAUUAUGGGGCUGUGGCUUCCCUGGCAGCAUUUCCAUUUCCCAAACCGGCUCUGAUUUCCCAGCUGGAGCGAGGGGAAACACCCUGGUGCUCGGUUCCUCGGGGAGCUCUGGAUGGAGAGGCCCCAAGGGGCAUCUCCUCAGGUGAGUGAGGGCACACGUGCCGGUCAUCUGACCAGUUUUCUUGUCAUGAUCUUUAAAAUGUCAUAGAUAGGUGUUUUUUUAAUCUAGUGUUGUAGACACUAGUGGGAUUGCAUUUCUUCUCUGUGUUCCCAUAGUUUUAUGUCUUCUUUUUUUAAAAAAAUUUUUUUUAGUAUUUAUUGAUUAUUCUUGGGUGUUUCUCAGAGAGGGGGAUUUGGCAGGGUCAUAGGACAAUAGUGGAGGGAAGGUCAGCAGAUAAACAUGUGAACAAAGGUCUCUGGUUUUCCUAGGCAGAGGGCCCUGCCGCCUUCCGUAGUGUUUGUGUCCCUGGGUACUUGAGAUUAGGGAGUGGUGAUGACUCUUAACGAGCAUGCUUCCUUCAAGCAUCUGUUUAACAAAGCACAUCUUGCACCGCCCUUAAUCCAUUUAACCGUUAGUGGACACAGCACAUGUUUCAGAGAGCACGGGGUUGGGGGUAAGGUUAUAGAUUAACAGCAUCCCAAGGCAGAAGAAUUUUUCUUAGUACAGAACAAAAUGGAGUC
Molecule: long non-coding RNA, 1116 nt
Filed under: Homo sapiens (human)
Lineage: Eukaryota; Metazoa; Chordata; Mammalia; Primates; Hominidae
Description: HSALNT0311486
Source: RNAcentral